Molecule: long non-coding RNA, 1287 nt
Organism: Ictalurus punctatus (channel catfish)
Lineage: Eukaryota; Metazoa; Chordata; Actinopteri; Siluriformes; Ictaluridae
Source: Ensembl
CACACAUGAUAGAUUUGUCCCAAAAGGAUAUGAAAUUGUUUUCAGUGUACAAAAAUAUCUCACCUUUUACAAUGAGUCCAGACUGGACAUUAUUUUUAAGCAUUAAAAACAACAAUAAUAAUAAUAAUAAUAAUAACAACAACAACAACAACAACAACAACAGGCAUUUGGCUUGUUUUAUUUACUCAUUCAAUUUGGCCCCCGAAAAAGUACAAACGUUUUCUAUUCAAGUUCUUUUAGGUGUAUAAAAAUAAUUAUUAACACACAGUUACGAUUUUUUUUUUUUUUUUUUUUUUUAUGACUGACAAAAUGACUAUUUCUUUAAGCAUUUACGCCUCCGUAUUUUAAAGUGCAACGUUUUUCUUCUAAAUCCAAGCUUGAAAUGUAAGACGAAAUAAAAACGAAAAAUAAAAAUAAGAGAAAAAUACAUUAAACACGUAUUAGUAGGUAAAGCACGGUACCUAUUUUAACACAGAGCGUAGACUUUACUUCUUGUUGUUGUUGUUUACAAUCAACUCAAACAACUGUACAUGAGACAGCAUGAACGCCAAACACUCUUAUUUCUAAAAGACCGGUCACUUCUUUUGGUUAGCAAAACAGUUUUCCCAAUGCCUAAAUAAAAAAAAGUAAUUAAUUUUUAAAAAAUUAAAUAAAUAAAAAAAAAAUCAAGAUGAUCCACGAUCAUGACCAUGAUGCACAAUUAACAGUAACAGCAGCCAUUAUCUAAAAAUAAAACAAAAAACCGCCACCUGUAAACACAGUGGCUUAAAUAAAAGUAGUCGUGAACAGUCUGAGAGGCUAUAAAUAAAUAAAUAAAUAGCUGUACGGAGAUUAUAAUAUCACUGCACUGUACAGCUCGGGCUGUGUGCUGUACUUCUCCUUCAUCUUCCUUAACAUCAGUGUGAAGCAUUAAUUAUCGAACCCCGUCCAGACGUCUUCUGACCGGCUUUCCAUCAACAUUUCCGUUCUGCUUAACUCGAACAGGCCAUCACGCGCGCGCAUGCACAGCCAGACGUGCGUUCCUGAUGGAUCCUUGUGAACGCAGCUUCGGUCCAGACGGAAGCAGAAGAACACGGCUACGGUCUCUGUUUAAAUAAGCAAUUCAUGGAUUAAUAUCACUUUAUUUAUUUAUUUAUUUUUUGAAUCUGGCGCUUUGUAUACGUGUACGUCGUCCUGCACGAGUUUCGAUCGUGUUCUGUAGAGAUCCCACCGUUCUGGAACUUUCUACAGUGAGACGAUGAGCACCUCGUGCAAAGCUUUCAGGAAUGUAGGCUGAACGUGUUCCCA